AUGCCAGAAUGCCGUGCGACCCCUGGACCAGUUCUCAUCGCCUCCAUUUUCCCUUGGCCCGCAAACCGCCCCACCUCCGCGCUACCCUUUUCGGGGCUGCGUCCCACCCACCCGCAAACCCAGCUCAACCCCGCCCCCGCUCGCCUCUCGGGGAAGACUUCCUUCCCACCCACGCCCAACCUCCUCCCACAAGCAAAACAUUCCAGACAGGCCCCUAGCCUCCAAAUACCUCAGUUAACAGUAUUUCCCACACCUCCCUGCUUCCAGCUACAACGGCUCUUUUUCACCAAGCGGACCCCAGACUGGAGACACAGGGGUCGGCCUCGAAGGGGGAGUACCAAACCAGCUGGCCUUGUAAGGAUUCUUCACCAACUUGGCACACCGAAAAAUCAUCACAAUUAGGAACAGAAACAGAAGAACAACAAAGGCAAUGGCGAAGGCUUUGUCUACGUCAACACUGCUUGACAGGCUUGAAUCAUCCAUGAGAACACACACCUCUUUACCCUUGUUUAGCUGUAGCUACCUCUUCAGGUAUAUCUUCAGGUUUGUCAUAUUCCUAGACAAAAGAGGAUAAAACAAGCUUAUUGGUUCAUAUAUGUAUGCAUGUGUUUUCUUAAUAACAUUAUGUUAGGGACACCUGGGUGGCUCAGUGGUUGAGCAUCUGCCUUUGGCUCAGGGUCUGAUCCCAGAGUUCUGAGAUCGAGUCCCACAUCGGGCUCCCUGCAUGGAGCCUGCUUCUCCCUUUGCCUAUGUCUCUGCCUCUCUCUGUGUGUCUCUCGUGAAUAAAUAAAUAAAAUCUUUAAAAAAAAGUUGCA
Molecule: long non-coding RNA, 815 nt
Filed under: Vulpes vulpes (red fox)
Lineage: Eukaryota; Metazoa; Chordata; Mammalia; Carnivora; Canidae
Description: lncRNA (ENSVVUG00000011629.1)
Source: RNAcentral